AAGCCAUUGCCUUUUGAUGAGUCCGCGUCCCAUUAGCUAGUUGGUAGGGUAAGAGCCUACCAAGGCGACGAUGGGUAGCUGGUCUGAGAGGAUGAUCAGCCACACUGGAACUGGAACACGGUCCAGACUCCUACGGGAGGCAGCAGUGGGGAAUAUUGGGCAAUGGGGGCAACCCUGACCCAGCAACGCCGUGUGAGGGAAGAAGGUUUUCGGAUCGUAAACCUCUGUCAGGAGGGAAGAAGUGCAUGCCAAGUAAUAUGUGGUAUGUUUGACGGUACCUCCAAAGGAAGCACCGGCUAACUCCGUGCCAGCAGCCGCGGUAAUACGGAGGGUGCGAGCGUUAUUCGGAAUUACUGGGCGUAAAGCGCGCGUAGGCGGCGCGGCAAGUCAGAUGUGAAAGCCCCGGGCUCAACCUGGGAAUUGCAGUUGAAACUGCCGUGCUUGAGUGAGGUAGAGGGUGGCGGAAUUCCCGGUGUAGGAGUGAAAUCCGUAGAUAUCGGGAGGAACACCAGUGGCGAAGGCGGCCACCUGGGCCUUUACUGACGCUGAGGUGCGAAAGCGUGGGUAGCAAACAGGAUUAGAUACCCUGGUAGUCCACGCUGUAAACGAUGGAUACUAGGUGCUGGGAGAGAAUUUCGGUGCCGUAGCUAACGCGUUAAGUAUCCCGCCUGGGGAGUACGAUCGCAAGGUUGAAACUCAAAGAAAUUGACGGGGGCCCGCACAAGCGGUGGAGUAUGUGGUUUAAUUCGAUGCAACGCGAAGAACCUUACCUGGACUUGACAUCCUGCGAAUCCUGUAGAGAUACGGGAGUGCCCUUCGGGGAGCGCAGAGACAGGUGCUGCAUGGCUGUCGUCAGCUCGUGCCGUGAGGUGUUGGGUUAAGUCCUGCAACGAGCGCAAC
RNAcentral lists this ribosomal RNA (900 nucleotides) under uncultured delta proteobacterium. RNAcentral describes it as "bacterial SSU rRNA". It matches the Rfam family "Bacterial small subunit ribosomal RNA", at positions 209 to 1102 of the family's 1533-position model. Lineage: Bacteria; Deltaproteobacteria. The record is from RNAcentral.